Molecule: long non-coding RNA, 970 nt
Organism: Oncorhynchus keta (chum salmon)
Lineage: Eukaryota; Metazoa; Chordata; Actinopteri; Salmoniformes; Salmonidae
Exons: 3
Source: RefSeq, a predicted model, not a curated record
CCCAUCUUCAGGUGCGGUAAUUAGACAGUUUUCGAACCAUGAGGUGUCAUAGAGUUCAGAUGGGUCCUAUCUUCAGGUGCGGUAAUUAGGCAGUUUUCGAACCAUGAGGUGUCAUAGAGUUCGGAUGGGUCCCAUCUUCAGGUGCGGUAAUUAGACAGUUUUCGAACCAUGAGGUGUCAUAGAGUUCAGAUGGGUCCUAUCUUCAGGUGCGGUAAUUAGGCAGUUUUCGAACCAUGAGGUGUCAUAGAGUUCGGAUGGGUCCCAUCUUCAGGUGCGGUAAUUAGGCAGUUUUCGAACCAUGAGGUGUCAUAGAGUUCGGAUGGGUCCUAUCUUCAGGUGCGGUAAUUAGGCAGUUUUCGAACCAUGAGGUGUCAUAGAGUUCGGAUGGGUCCUAUCUUCAGGUGCGGUAAUUAGGUAGUUUUCGAACCAUGAGGUGUCAUAGAGUUCAGAUGGGUCCUAUCUUCAGGUGCGGUAAUUAAUGUUUACCCCAGUGUGAACAGAGAAUUUAUUUCAACAUCUGUGCAUACGAGCACCUUACACACAAAGGCAACAUAAAUCCCCUAGAAUGCAGAGCGUUUAACUGGGAAAACACUGGACAGCAGCGUUGAUAAUUUAUUAAGCACAGCUGGCCCAGCACAGCUUCAGGCAACACCUCUGAGCUGAUCUGUAGCCUGUAGUUUCUGCAAGGCACAUUUUAACUGGGAGGAAUGGUUCAAUUCACAGUGACACACCCAGCUUACAAUGAGAGAUGUGGUGAGAAAUGACUCCCAUUACUGUAGCUAAAGUAAAGUAAUGAUUGAUUUCCCCAGAUUCAAACAAAAUAAUAUGAUGCCAUGAAAAUCACGUGGAGAGAUUAAGUUUGCUGAAUGAGCACCCUCAUGGAAGGAGAUGGGUGUUGCUAUUAAGACUCAGAUACAAUGCUAUACAGGACAAAGGAGGAAUGGAUAGUUGUGGACCUGGAGCGGAAAUG